Long non-coding RNA from Ricinus communis (castor bean), 2543 nucleotides. RefSeq lists it as uncharacterized. The transcript is spliced from 3 exons. The record is from RefSeq and is a predicted model, not a curated record. Lineage: Eukaryota; Viridiplantae; Streptophyta; Magnoliopsida; Malpighiales; Euphorbiaceae.
UACACUUGUCCUUCUCUUAUUAGAACUACUCUUACAAAGACCAAACCUGAAAAAAAAUAAAAUAGGAGAAGCCUUAUAACUUGAAAAUUACAAAUUCUAAAACCCUUUCUCAAAGAGAGAAAGAAGUCUCCCUCUCCUUAUCAUCACCCAUUUCAUCAGAAUACCCAAAUCACAUUUCAAAAGAAAAAGAAAAGGGUUUUGGAGCUUUUUCUCUCUAUGUUUUCUUCUUUUUUUUCAGUCCAAUAUUAAUAGAUGACGGAGUUUUGAACUUGAAAAUGCUAUCGGUCGUAAAAUGUAAUUUUUCGACUACUAAAAUAUCCAUGAGAAGAAGAAUAUUACGAUGGAAAUUUCGUCCACGAAUAGAUUUUCCGAUGGCUCCAACAAAUGUUGACUUCAACCUAUGCUCAGCUGCAAGUCUUUUACAGAUUAUGCUGCGAUACAAGUGCUUAGUUUGGAUAUAUUUGGAUUGCUCAAGAUGGUCACUAAUCCUUUUGGCUCGGACCAUUUUGGUUGAAAGUGGAGGACAUGAGAGCAGCUGAUUCCCAGCCAGUAGCAAGGCCAAGUGCUGAGGCAUUAAUUGAAACCAAAGGAUCAGAACUAGGAACAAUCCCGUAAAUGGCCUGCUGCUGUUGUUGCAUCUGAUGUUGUUGACUAGUGAAAGCUUCUUCAUUGAUGAGUGAAUCAAUAAAUGAAGAAAAGACAUCAUCAGUGCAAUAAUCAUUGUUACAGUAAUUGAUAUCUUCAUCAGCUUCUUCAUUGCUAAGCCCUUGAAUGUUGCUUCCCAAAUGCAUUCUAGAACCUUCAUCAAUACUUCUCAAUAAGCUUGUAAAUCCAUGGCUAGCAUAAUAAGCAUUAUCAUUGGCACAAGUAGUAGUAGUAGUAGCAGUAGUGUGAUAUUGAUCAAAGGAAGUGUUUCCAUAGUAUAGAUUUUCUUUGUUGCUGAUGAUCAUUUGACCACUUGCACUUGUAGUUUCUUCCAGAGCAGAAGAAGAGGAGGCAGGAUUAUUAUUACUUUUACGCUUAGGGCUUGAUGAUUUGCGAACAAUAGUAGUACAUGGUUUUGAUGAAGAAGCUUUGUGCUGAUCAACAGAUUGAAGGCUGAGUGCCUUGUGCGUUCUUGGAUCAAUUCCUUGGCUUAUCAGCUUCUUGCUAAGGUGAGUGUUCCAGUAAUUCUUGAUCUCAUUGUCUGUACGCCCUGGAAUUCUCCCAGCUAUCAGUGACCACCUAAACCACAAUCCAGACAAGAUCUGAGUGGAAGUUUAAUAUCAAUAUAUAGUUCAAAUAUAAUGUGUUUAAUGAGUACAAGGAUCUGAAGAAUAUUAGAACAUCCAAUUGCUGACAAGAAAGAGAAAAAGAAAGAGGGGAGCGAAACUCGGUCUUUUCCGAUGACAAAAUGCAAAAGUGAAACCCUAGAACUAGAAAAGAGAAGAGACGCAGCAGGAAGCAAACCCUAAAAACCCAAAGGAUAAACAAAGAAUCUGAACAAAACCCAGACAGUAAGAAGAGUAAAACAUGAUCGAAAUGGAGUGAGAUUAUCGAUUUUGUUAAUCAACCUGUUGCCCAGAAGGCGAUGAAGGCGAAGAAUGAGAUCUUCUUCAUCAGGAGCGAUCUGACCACGUUUGACACAAGGACGAAGGUAAUUCAUCCAACGAAGACGACAGCUUUUGCCACAACGAAGAAGCCCAGCUUUUUUAGGUAAGGUACGCCAUCUUCCUUCGCCUUCUUUGUUUAUAUAGUUUGCUAGGAGUUCAUCUUCUUCUGGUGUCCAUGGUCCUCUCUUCAGCCCUACUUUACUGCAACAUGCCGUAAUCUUUGCUGAUGUUCCUGCUGCUGUUUUUGAAGCUGACGGGUUUCUCAUAUUCUUCUUGUUCUUCACUUCUUCUUUUCGUUUUUUCUUUUUGCUUUUUUUGGGUACUGUUUCUCUCUUGUCUGAAGAGAUCUAAAGUUUGUGUAUUUGUUUUUUAAAUGUUUGAUCUCUUAUUCGUUAAGUAUACAAGAAAGUGAGAGUACAUGUGUAGGCUUUGAUAAGGAUGACUUGGAUUGGUUUUUAUUUAUUUAUUUAUUAUUUUUUGUGGGGGGGAAGAUUUAUGGAUGAUGGAGCAAGUACCGAUUAUGGUAAAAAUAUAUUAUUAUAUUCUUUUAAUCUUUCAAUUUUAUUUUAUUUAAAUUUUUAUUUUAUUCUUUAUAAUUCUCAAAGUUGAUAUUUUUUACUUGAAUUAAAAUAUUUUAUAAAUUUUUAUUUAUUUAAUUGACUUUUAUAUUUUUUUAAUCUUAAUAAAAAUUAUUUAAUCUUAAUAAAAGUAAAAAAUAAAAACAAAAUAAACAUCAGAAAGCAUAAUAACAUAAGAUUGAAAAGUUAAAAGAAUCUAAAAAUUUACUUUUCCACUAAUUUAUUUUCAUAUUUAUAAUUUACAAAAGUAAUUAUUUUAAAAAUGAUUGUUUUUGUAUUCGUAGGUGUUCCUGAAAAUGAAGGAUGAGACGCGAGAGGCUGCAGGCAAUAGCAGCAGCAGCAGAAAAGAUUAAAAAAAGAAAAAAAAAAAAAA